This is a long non-coding RNA of Zonotrichia leucophrys gambelii, 400 nucleotides long. RefSeq lists it as uncharacterized. The record is from RefSeq and is a predicted model, not a curated record. The transcript is spliced from 3 exons. Lineage: Eukaryota; Metazoa; Chordata; Aves; Passeriformes; Passerellidae.
CUGGAAGAAGAAGCAGGAAUCAGUGUUGUGAGGAGCUGCCCAUAUAAAAUUGCUGAGAAGCUGGUAUCUCUCUGGUUGAAACUUCCUCACAAAGACAUCCAUGGAUAUUGACACCAUGUCUCUCCUACAAGUGCACUGCAAGACAAGACAGGUUUCACCUAUUAGCAUCUAGUUCAUUAUAUUAAUGGAUGCUAAAGCCAGCAAAUUAAUAUUAUCAAUGUAGAUCACAAUACCUAAUGACCAUCUGGGGGAAGGAGAAGAAUGCAGUGAAAUUCCAAUCAGAAGGAAAAGUUCUGGCCAAGUCUCAUGCAAAGCAUGUAAAACUCCAUCAUAUUCAUUAAGUUUCUCUAAAGCACAUGAUAAAUUCUUGCAAAAGUGUGGCUAAUUUUUUUCAAGACUG